This 468-nucleotide ribosomal RNA is filed under the name uncultured bacterium. RNAcentral's name for it is "partial 16S ribosomal RNA". The stretch from base 52 to 468 matches the Rfam family "Bacterial small subunit ribosomal RNA", at positions 39 to 507 of the family's 1533-position model. The record is from RNAcentral.
GGGGGGGGGGGGGGGGGGGGGGGGGGGGGGGGGGGCGGGGGGGGGGGGCGUGCGGUGGGGGGGUGCGCGGGGGGCGAGCGGGUGGGUGAGGCGUGCGUGACCUGCCCUUGACUUUGGGAUAACUUCGGGAAACUGGGGCUAAUCCCGGAUGGGGGCUCCUGCUGCAUGGUGGGGGUUGGAAAGUUUCGGCGGUUGGGGAUGGACUCGCGUCUUAUCAGCUUGUUGGUGGGGGCGUGGCUUACCAAGGCUUUGACGGGUAGCCGGCCUGAGAGGGUGACCGGCCACAUUGGGACUGAGAUACGGCCCAGACUCCUACGGGAGGCAGCAGUGGGGAAUAUUGCACAAUGGGCGGAAGCCUGAUGCAGCAACGCCGCGUGCGGGAUGACGGCCUUCGGGUUGUAAACCGCUUUCGCCUGUGACGAAGCGUGAGUGACGGUAAUGGGUAAAGAAGCACCGGCUAACUACGUG